UUCGUCCUCUGUAUAAUCCUGAUAACCCUCGUAGAUAGAGUAAUCUUUGAGCACACGAGGUACGGUCUUCCAUGAAUUUGUAGAUGGUGCCAAACAUACAAGUAAUGACCUUAAGUCUUCACUCACUCCUCCAUCAAGAGCAUUUAUUGGUUCGAGAUAUUUUGUCAUCAUGACUCUUAACUUAUUCCUGUCAUGAAACUCAAAAUUUUCUGACAUAAUAAAAUCAAUCUCACUAAC
This 237-nucleotide long non-coding RNA is filed under the name Coffea arabica (coffee). Its description in RNAcentral is "long non-coding RNA (CARA_LNC006348)". The record is from RNAcentral. Lineage: Eukaryota; Viridiplantae; Streptophyta; Magnoliopsida; Gentianales; Rubiaceae.